RNAcentral lists this non-coding RNA (45 nucleotides) under Schistosoma margrebowiei. The record is from RNAcentral. Lineage: Eukaryota; Metazoa; Platyhelminthes; Trematoda; Strigeidida; Schistosomatidae.
AUCCAGCUGACGAGUCCCAGACAGAAAGAAACGCGUGUCCCGGAU